This 57-nucleotide ribosomal RNA is filed under the name Sirococcus piceicola. Its description in RNAcentral is "partial 18S ribosomal RNA". Lineage: Eukaryota; Fungi; Ascomycota; Sordariomycetes; Diaporthales. The record is from RNAcentral.
UCUUGGUCCAAUUAGAGGAAGUAAAAGUCGUAACAAGGUCUCCGUUGGUGAACCAGC